CGUGUAGGCGGUCAGGUAAGUGGAAUGUGAAAUGCCCCGGCUCACCCGGGGACCGGCAUCCCAAACUGCCUGGCUUGAGUAUGGGAGAGGAUGGAGGAAUUCCUGGUGUAGCGGUGAAAUGCGUAGAUAUCAGGAGGAACACCGGUGGCGAAGGCGUCCAUCUGGCCCAAUACUGACGCUGAGGCGCGAAAGCUAGGGGAGCAAACA
RNAcentral lists this ribosomal RNA (207 nucleotides) under uncultured Latescibacterota bacterium. RNAcentral's name for it is "uncultured Latescibacteria bacterium partial 16S ribosomal RNA". It matches the Rfam family "Bacterial small subunit ribosomal RNA", at positions 568 to 774 of the family's 1533-position model. Lineage: Bacteria; Pseudomonadati; Candidatus Latescibacterota. The record is from RNAcentral.